CCGCCAUUUUAGCCCCGGGGCGGCCCCGCCCGGGCAGCGGGGAGCGGCUGGAGUCAGGUUCGGGAAGCGCUGGGAAGACCGCGGGGACAGCGCCCUGCCCAGCCCCGGCAGCUCCGGCAACACCGCCCGGGGAGCUCCGGGACUCUGUGCGGACACCGCGCCGCCCCGCGCGGCUGCCGCUCGCUCCCCUGCAGCGUGCUCUUGCCCCCGUUCAGUCGCUAGAACUGAGCCCGCAAAAAUGUCCAUCAUAAUAAUGCACAGUAAUAAUUAUUAUUAUUAUUAUUAUUAAUAAUAAUAAUAGCACCACCUUCUGUGCAGUUAAAGACUCGGAUUUCCUUUCUUUAAGCACUACCAGACAGAUUAUUCGCCCUAAGUUGAUGCACGUGGUUUAAAGGGCAGUGGCGCGCAGGAGCCGCAGCUUAGCCCGAGCUCUUCACUCGUGUCAGGCGCUUCCAAACGCACUCGGUCCCAGCACAGCAAAGGCCGGGCACGGUGGGUGCUGGGUAUCAGCCGUGUCUCCCGACAGGUGCCACCACUUUGCCUCUCGGCUUCGCUUUCUGUCUGGUUACACCCAAAAAAUAAACCUGCCCCUCUCUUCUGAAGCAAAUCGCCUUAAAACGAACCCCUGGGCUAAUAAAGCACAUGAUGAAAUAGGGUUUUUUUCCAGGCACGGGAGCCCCGAAGAGCCCAAAGCAAGGCGGCUGUGUGUGCCUGUUGGGCUCCUCUGCUGGCCCAGGCUCUCCGAGCACACGGAGCAUUCCCUGGACGUGCAGGCGGUGCCAGCAUUCACCUCUCAGAGCUGAGCGCGCUGGGAUGCUCGCACGCUGCAGCACAGCCCCUCUCCACACAGACAAAUCCUCAUGUGCUGCCCUCGGACCCAGCCGGAUGUCUGUGUCCCCUAUUCCACUUCUGCAGGUACCCAGGGAGCAGUGUGCUUAUCACCAGUGCCAGCGAUGGCAUUCCAGUCUUCACACAAAACUUGGCAUAUACAGGGACAACAGGUCCCAGUGGGAGUGUGCCAACUGGGAGAUGUUGUGUCUGGGCCACUGACAGCCUAAAGGCUACAGUCUGCAGGCAGAGAGGACAUUUCUCAGGAAUUUAUUCACCCAGGAACUCUAAAUAA
RNAcentral lists this long non-coding RNA (1123 nucleotides) under Parus major (Great Tit). RNAcentral's name for it is "lncRNA (ENSPMJG00000006205.1)". Lineage: Eukaryota; Metazoa; Chordata; Aves; Passeriformes; Paridae. The record is from RNAcentral.